GACGAACGCUGGCGGCGUGCUUAACACAUGCAAGUCGAACGGAAAGGCCCUGCUUUUGUGGGGUGCUCGAGUGGCGAACGGGUGAGUAACACGUGAGUAACCUGCCCUUGACUUUGGGAUAACUUCAGGAAACUGGGGCUAAUACCGGAUAGGAGCUCCUGCUGCAUGGUGGGGGUUGGAAAGUUUCGGCGGUUGGGGAUGGACUCGCGGCUUAUCAGCUUGUUGGUGGGGUAGUGGCUUACCAAGGCUUUGACGGGUAGCCGGCCUGAGAGGGUGACCGGCCACAUUGGGACUGAGAUACGGACCAGACUCCUACGGGAGGCAGCAGUGGGGAAUAUUGCACAAUGGGCGGAAGCCUGAUGCAGCCACGCCGCGUGCGGGAUGACGGCCUUCGGGUUGUAAACCGCUUUCGCCUGUGACGAAGCGUGAGUGACGGUAAUGGGUAAAGAAGCACCGGCUAACUACGUG
RNAcentral lists this ribosomal RNA (468 nucleotides) under uncultured bacterium. RNAcentral's name for it is "partial 16S ribosomal RNA". It matches the Rfam family "Bacterial small subunit ribosomal RNA", at positions 28 to 507 of the family's 1533-position model. The record is from RNAcentral.